AUCUGCAUUUGUUCAAAUUACAAUAAAAUUGUGUGUUUUUUCAUUUAGAUACAUUAUUAAGUUAUCCCAGUCGAUCUUCUCAAGUACAAACACUCAACAAACAAAAAGCUUGUUUCAUUUACGCUGUUUCGUACUCCCGCCAACUGGCACGCAUCUGUUGAAAAGAGCAGAAGACCACCGCAUUUCCAGAGGCUGGGUUUAUGAUUGAGUCCACUGAACGUUAAGGAAUUCUGCAGGAUCACACUGAAGCUAUUGCAGUCCACAUUCCUGGGCAAGUUGGAGCAACACACACUCAAGCUGUUGCCUGUACAGGAGGAAGGGUGGAGCCGUUGGGAAGAAACUUGAUGAGACCCUUGACAUGUUAAAUGAGGCAUGUAUUUACAACAGUGUGGUAGUAAUUAGUUGUAUGUAGUAGCUUUCUGAUGUCUGUAAUCUCAUAUUUUAUGUUAAUCUCAUAUUUCUCGUAUUAAUUAGUAAUCUCAUUCCAUAUUUUUGUAGGACGACACAAUUGAGUCGCGAAGAGAAGUUGUGAUCAGAGGACUGGUGAAUACACUGGAGAGUUAAUGAAGGACUACCAGGUUAUUAAUGACGACGAUGCUGCGACCAUCCAAGAAGCUAUUACUACAUUUGCCCUCGGCAUCUUUGUUGUCAGCAAAGCCGGGGAUGGUCUCCCCAAGCAAGCUGGAAUAGCCAUCGAGGGACCUUUUUGGUAUCCCAGAUGUGGCACAUGCUUGCACCUAUCUGAUGGGCCUUAUCUAUGCCUUGGAACUGAGGUACCCUAAUAAACUGAAAUACACGUUUGAGGUCUUUCAGAAGAUCUUCCUAGAGCUAGAGGAUGCAAACCAAAAACUGUCCUCCAAAGUCCAUGAUCUCAAGGUCUGUUUGCAAGCUUAAAAUCUAUACAGAUGGUGUAUACAGUAGAAUGUAUUUUGAU
Molecule: long non-coding RNA, 934 nt
Organism: Alosa sapidissima (American shad)
Lineage: Eukaryota; Metazoa; Chordata; Actinopteri; Clupeiformes; Clupeidae
Exons: 3
Source: RefSeq, a predicted model, not a curated record